RNAcentral lists this long non-coding RNA (7619 nucleotides) under Brassica napus (rape). RNAcentral describes it as "long non-coding RNA (BNAP_LNC018161)". The record is from RNAcentral. Lineage: Eukaryota; Viridiplantae; Streptophyta; Magnoliopsida; Brassicales; Brassicaceae.
CUCCUACUCUAUCUACAUGGGCACCGUCGAUCCAACCCCUUACUUCUCCCAGCUUCAGUCUCUCCCCCGCGGCAUCUCCUCCUCCUCCUCCUCCUCUCCCUGUAACUCCACCGCCGCACAACCUCUCCGCGUAUUCAUGUACGACCUCCCUCGAAAAUUCAACAUCGCGAUGAUGGAUCCUCACAGCUCAGACGUCGAGCCAAUCACCGCCAAGAACCUCCCUCCCUGGCCCCAGACCUCCGGGAUCAAGCGCCAGCACAGCGUCGAGUACUGGCUCAUGGCCUCGCUUCUCCACAACGGAGGAGAGAAAAAAAUUUAAAAGCAAAUUUAAUAUUAAGAAAACAGAUAACUUUAAUAAUGGUAAAAUAUAAUAUAUCUACCUUAUUAAACUAUUUGUAACUAUUUGAUCAAACGAUGUUUAUGUUUAAACUUUAUUUAUAAUUUAUCGACAUUUUUGUAAUUGAAAGAUAUUAUAGUGAACUAAAUUUAUGAAAAAUAAAUAAAAUAUUUCAAUAAUACUAAUUAUAAACUAUUUUAAAUCAAUUAAACAUAUAUCAUUGUAUGUUACUUAAUUAUUUUAUGUAAUCAUCUAAGAAAAUAUAUAGAUAUAUAAAAAUAUUUCUAUUACUUUGAAUUUUUUUGUAUUGUUUAAAAUUAUGUUUUAAAAGAAAUAAUAUUAGGCAAUUGGUCAUACUCAGAAAAAUCUCUCUUUGAUUAUUCUCUGGAUUCUAUGGUAAAGUGUUGGUUUGAGGACAUGAGGAGGAAUCUCACUAUUGCUGAGUGGAAUGGAUUUUUCAAUAUGUUUAAUCCGGAGUUUAUUAAAAAUUAUUCCUCUAUGAUAAUGGAUUAUGAUUGGUAUUGUAUUAUUUCAUUGUUAACACAGGUUCCCUUCCGGCACUUUGGGAAGCCUUGGAGCUUUUUGAUAAUAGAAUAUAAUUUAAAAUUGGUUUGGAUUCGUGACUGCCAACUAUUUUGGAAAAAAUGGUACAAUGGUUUACAUCAGAUUGUUGAACUAGGAUGGUGUGGUUUUGUUUUACAUGGGUUUGGCGAAUACUUGGAUGCAGUUCUGAUAUGGUGGCUGUGGGGUUUUGAUGUUAAAACAUUUUCGGGUAUCAUUAAACCUGUAUGUUAUGGCUCGAUGGAGCAAUACAAAUAUUUUUAUAUAUGAAAAUAUUAAGUUGGAAUGUUAGAGGAUUCGGAAGUCAUUGUACCAUAAGUUAUCUCCGGGAGAUAUGACACAAACAUAAACCAGAUUUUUUAUUUUUAUCUGAAACGAAACAAGAUUUCGAAUUCGUACAAGGGUUUCAAUCACACUAUGGAUAUGAUAGGUUGGUUACUGUGGAUCCAAAUGGGCGGAGCGGCGGUUUGGCUCUUUUUUAUAACAACGAAUAUCAAGUAAAAAUCUUAUAUUCUAGCAACAGAAUGAUAGAUAUAGAGGCGGUGGUCAAAGGAAAGCAAUUUUUCCUUACCUUUGUCUAUGGGGAUCUGGUACAAGAGUUAAGAGAACAGGUAUGGGAGAGACUAACUCGGUUUAGAUUAUCACGAUCUGAACCAUGGUUUAUUAUUGGCGAUCUAAAUAAGAUUACGGGGAAUCAUGAAAAGGAUGGGGGAGCACUAAGAUGUACAACUUCUUUCAUUCCUUUUAACAACAUGAUAAAAAAUAGUGGAUUACUAGAAUUUCCUGCUCGAGGUAAUAAAUUUUCUUGGCAAGGAAGGAGGGGCAAAGGAAAAGGAGCAGUGAUGGUUAGAUUUCGAUUGGAUCGGGCCUUGGCAAAUGAGGAAUGGCAUACGCUUUUGCCACGCUCUUACACAGAAUAUCUGAAGAUGGUGGGUUCUGAUCACCGUCUUGUGGUUGCUUUUCUGGAGGAUAAUUUAUCACGAAAGAGAAAGAGACAGUUCAGGUUUGUUAAGAGAUGGGUUGGACAGGAGGGUCUCAUGGAAUCGAUAGUAGCAGGCUGGACAGAAAAUCAGGGAGGACAGAUUGCAGUUGUUGUUACAAAAAUUAAUAAUUGCCGCCAUGAAAUAUCGUCAUGGCGAAAAGAUAACCAACCAUAUGGGAAGGACAAAAUUAAAGAUCUUCAACAGGCAUUGGAAGAAGUUCAAAUGGAUAAUAAUAGAACACAAGAGGAGAUUCUUGAGGUAUCCAAGAAGUUACAAGAGGCUUAUAAGGAUGAGGAGGAAUAUUGGUACCAGAAAAGCCGAAAUAUGUGGUAUUCAUUUGGGGAUCUUAAUACUAAAUUUUAUCAUGUCUUAACAAAGCAGUGUAGGGUUAGCAACAAAGUAGUGGGACUCCAUGAUGAUAUGGGUAAUUGGAUAACAGAGGAGAACAGAGUUGAGAAGGUGUCGGUUGACGGUUGACUAUUUUGAUGAUUUGUUUAGCACCACUGGUCCAACGGAAUUUGAUAGCUUUUUGGAAGAGAUAGUUCUGUCUAUCUCCCCUCAAAUGAAUCAAAUUUUAUUAAGACUAGCAACGGAGGAAGAAGUUCAAUAAGCUUUAUUCAUGAUGCACCCGGAGAAAGCGCCAGGUCCGGAUGGAAUGACAGUUCUCUUUUUUCAACAUUCCUGGCAUGUUAUUAAGAAGGAUGUGGUUGAGAUGGUGAAUAAUUUUCUGGCUACAGGAAAUAUAGAUCCACGUUUAAAUAUUACUAAUAUUUGUAUGAUUCCGAAAAUAGAGAGACCUACAAGGAUGACGGAACUAAUGCCGAUAAGUCUAUGUAAUGUUGGUUAUAAGAUCAUCUCGAAAGUCUUGUGUCAAAGAUUGAAAAUUUGCCUACCACAACUAAUCUCGGAGACACAAUCGGCUUUUGUGGCGGGCAGGUUAAUAUCAGAUAAUAUUCUUAUAGCGUAGGAAAUGUUUCAUGGAUUGAGAACCAAUAAGUCUUGCCGAAACAAGUUUAUGGCGAUCAAAACGGAUAUGAGCAAGUCGUAUGAUAGGAUAGAGUGGAGUUUUAUUGAGGCUCUUCUUCACAAAAUGGGAUUUGAUCCUCGAUGGAUCAAUAUAAUGUUGGAAUGUAUAUCGUCGGUUCAAUAUAGAGUACUCCUCAAUGGUCAGCCACGAGGUCUCAUAACCCCCCAGCGGGGCUUACGUCAAGGGGAUCCUUUGUCUCCUUAUUUAUUCAUCAUGUGCACUGAGGCAUUAAUUGUGAAUAUUAAGAAGGCGGAGAGAGCAAAACAAUUAACUGGUCUGAAGGUAGCAAGGGCUUGUCCAGCAAUUUCUCAUUUGCUAUUUACAGAUGACAGUUUUUUGUUUUGCAAGACAAAUAAAGAGGAAUGUCAAACCAUUCUCAGGAUUCUAAAGGAAUAUGAGACGGACUCAGGGCAACAAAAUAAUUUCCAUAAAUCUUCAAUUCAAUUUGGACAUAAAAUUGAAGAAUCCAGCCGUCAAGAAUUGAGAGAUAUUUUAGGAAUCCAGAAUAUAGGAGGAAUGUGAUCUUAUUAAGAUUUACCAGAAAGCCUUGGAGGAUCAAAGGUACAAGUGUUUGGCUUUGUACAAGAGCGCUUGAAUAAUAUGGUUAAUGGAUGGACUUUUCGAUUCUUGACUAAAGGAGGAAAAGAUGUGAUUAUAAAAUCGGUGGUUACGGCAUUGCCAAAUCAUGUGAUGUCUGUUUAUCGGUUACCGAAGGCUACAGUUAAAAAGCUAACAAGUGCAGUAGCUCAGUUUUGGUGGAGUCUAGGAGGAAGCACAAAAGGUAUGCAUUGGAAAUCAUGAGAUAAAUUAUGUGCUCCUAAAGAUAAUGGUGGACUAGGCUUUAAGGAUCUUAUUGAUUUUAACACGGCGAUGCUUGGAAAGCAAUUGUGGAGGCUGAUUGAGAAGCCAAAUACUCUUUUUCAAGAGUCUUCAAAGGACGGUAUUAUAGGAAUGCUUCACCCUUGGAACCGAUCCGUUCAUACUCCCCGUCAUAUGGCUGGAGGAGUAUUACUUCUGCUAGAUCUUUGGUUUGUAAAGGACUAAUUAAAAGGGUGGGAACAUGUUCAUCUAUCUCAGUAUGGAAUGAUCCUUGGAUCUCAGCCACUCGCCCGAGACCAGCAAACAAAAACCUUCAAAACAGUUACCCGGACCUUACAGUGGAUUCUCUCAUUAACUCGGAAUCCCGAACAUAGAAUUUACAGGCAAUCAGGGCUUUGGUGGAUCCUCAUGAUGCACAAAUUAUAGAAAGUAUACCUUUGAGUAGAAAUCCAAUGGAAGAUAGGAAUGGAUGGCAUUUCACUAACAAUGGGAAAUACUCUGUUCAAUCAGGUUAUCAAGUGGAGCGGGUCUAUCCUGAUAGGGAAAAACCACCAGAAUUUAUUGGUCCCACAGUGGAUAUACUAAAAGCUUUCUGCUGGAAAGUGCGGUGUCCCCCAAAGAUACAACAUUUCUUAUGGCAAAUCCUUUCAGGAUGUAUAGCGGUAAUAAAAAAUCUACAAACAAGGGGAAUACAAGGAGAUAUACGUUGUGCUCGAUGUGGAGAUCCGAAGGAAUCAAUAAACCAUGUGUUUUUUGAAUGUCCUCCAGCACGUCAAGUAUGGGCUUUAUCUAAGAUACCAUCGAACCCCAAUAUUUUUCCUUUUAGUUCUUUCUUCGCCAACAUGGAUCACCUAUUUUGGAGAGUCAAUCCAAGGCUAGAUGACCACCAAUUUGGAUGGAUAUUGUGGUAUAUAUAGAAAGCUCGAAAUAACAAAGUGUUUAGUAAUCUGGAUAUUGAUCCAAGGGACACACUGAAAAUAGUGGAAUUGGAAUCAACGCUUUGGGCUGAGGCACAGGUAGUACAGGUUCAAACGAGGGAGCAUGAGGCACAGAACAGACCCACAGUACCAACUUCAGGACGAUGGUGCUUCAUAGAUGGUUCAUGGAAAGACAAGGAUUUAUUUUCAGGGCAAGGCUGGUAUAACACUUUACCGGGUUUUGAUGGUUUACUAGAGGCAAAGAAUGUAAGGGCAUGUCUUUCACCUCUACACUCGGAGGUGGAGGCAUUAAUUUGGGCAGUCGAAAAUAUGAAGAAUUUAAGAGAGUUUCAGGUUACGUUUGCAACAGAUUGUUCUCAAUCGGUGAAGAUGGUUUUGGAACCAGAAGAAUGACCAGCAUUUGGAAGUUACCUGGAAGACAUAAAGCUUUUAAAAAGAAGUUUCCUCAACUCAGACAUCGUUCAUGUACCCCGGACGGAGAACCUACGAGCGGAUAGCUUAGCACGCAGUGCUAGGAAACAACCAUCUUUCGUCGUUCACAUGGAUGCGGAGUUACCAAUCUGGUUUACAGAGUCAACAUGAGUCUGUAAAUGUUUGUUGUAAAAAUAAAAUAAAAUAAAAUAAAGAUAACAUAUAUUCAUAUUCAUAUUAAUAUAUUCUUUAUCCGACGUACUUCAAAAAUACCAAUUUUAUUUGGAAGUACCCAAUAUUUCAAAUCUCGGCUAACAAAAUGAUCUUUCAGGCAUUUACAAGUUGUAUAGAAAUUAAUUUUGUAUUAUCCGGAUCAUGAUCAAUCAGCUGGAUAUUACACAUCGUAUGCAACUAAUUGUAUUAAAUUUAUUAUCAUAUCCGGAUAUUAUACUUUUCAUCUAUAUAAUAGAUGAUGGAUUCAUUUUAUUAGGUGCAUGUGACAUGUAUUAUCGUUGUUGAAUCGAUUCACCAAAUAAGAUGAGUCUACAUUUAGCUGAUCUGACAAAAUGAUAUAUAUGUAAGUGUUAUCAGGUAGAUUUAAAUGACAACUGUAAUCUUCUAAAAUGAUCUAAAUGUAAGAACAUGAAAUUGGUAUAUAUUUCUUAGAAACCUGCGGAUAUGAUAGACUUGAAUUAUGAGAUGAUCAAUAUGAUGAUGAUUUCUUACAAAAGAUUACCACAAAAUAAACUCUCAACCCGUCUCAUGAUCAAAAUAUCGAAAAAAAUCUCAUGUAUCUUGUUAAUUAUUAAUACAACCAUAUAGUUAUACCAAAUAUUAAAUCCUAAUCAAUUAUCCAAAUAUUACACAUAUUAUCCACUUAAUAGUAUUGAAUCUUAGUAUGAUCUCUGGAUAGUUGACCAAUCCAUUUUAGUAGGUGCAUGCAACAUGUAUUAUCGUUGUUGAUCCGGUUCACCCAAAAUAUCCCGACAACAACUACUUUGAACAUUGUCUCUCCUUCUGAAAAGCAUCAUGCCACACCCAAGAAUCUAGUCAUAGAAACCAAAAAAUUGUUAUGUAAACUUAAUGUUUAUAUGAUUAGCAUGAAACUGACUAAAUAGAUUAUUAUUCGGUUUCCCAAUUAGUUAACCGAAUAAGUUAACGAUUAUAUUGGCAGAGUUCAUCAGUUUUGUACUUCAACUGAGAGUUGAAGAAUCCGCCAAUCAAAGACUUUAUUUCCGGUGGCUCAGUCAUCAGUUUCAUCCACUUUGAGUCAUCUUGUCCAAAUCCAUAAAUAUAGAGCCUCCUCCAAAUUUUGAAGAAAUUGUUAUUGAUCUUUUUUCUCUCCAGUUUAUUUUCUACAAAGCAUUUAUUUCUAGUGGUCGAGUCAGUAGUUUCAUCCACCUUGAGUCAUCUUUUUCAAAUCUAUAAAUAUAGAAACCUCUUCCAAGCUUCGAAAAAUCUGAUGUUCUCUCUUUCCUGUCCAAUCUAUUUUCUCCAAUGGAAUUAUUCAGGGCGGUCCAGUCUACAGUUUCGUCCACCUUGAAUCAUUUCUUUCAAAUUUAUUGAUAUAGAAACUCCUCCAAACUUCUGUCGAGCUCCUCGGUGAAACAACUUUACAUGAUAUCUCAAACAUUUUAUUUUGGCCGCCUAUCUUGUUUGUAGAUAUCAUCAUUGGAUAUGAUGAUAUUUGCCACUAUGUAUCCUCUUUCAUUUUUUUCAAUUUGAAAGUUACCUACGAAUUUCAGGGUUAUAUUUAUAAACUCAUCCCAUCUUCACAUCCAUCUGCCCAACUAUUUUGUUUGUUUUUUUCGUUGCCUAAUUCCACUCAUUAAUUAAGCUAAGUAUUAAUCCUAAAGUUUCUACCGUUUUAUCUCAAGAUGAAAUACUCCCAACAAAUCCAGUUUUACAUUUUUGUGUUAUACGCUACAAUUUCAAGAUCUAUAAACUUUCAAAUUACUGACAAAAAAAAAAAAACUUUCAAAUUAUUAUUGGGAUUUGACUCUUAAAAUCUUAAUAAUUGCCAGAUCAAUUCUGACUAGAAGAAUCUCUUUGUGGUUAUGACUCCAUACGUUUCGUCAAAACUCAAGCAACAAAAAACAGAAGCCAGACGGUUGGAUCCAAAUCUCAUCACGAAGAAAUGUACGGCAAAACCAUAUGCACCAUCGUCUUCUUCGUCUUCCUCAUAGCCUCCUACUCUAUCUACAUGGGCACCGUCGAUCCAACCCCUUACUUCUCCCAGCUUCAGUCUCUCCCCCGCGGCAUCUCCUCCUCCUCCUCCUCCUCUCCCUGUAACUCCACCGCCGCACAACCUCUCCGCGUAUUCAUGUACGACCUCCCUCGAAAAUUCAACAUCGCGAUGAUGGAUCCUCACAGCUCAGACGUCGAGCCAAUCACCGCCAAGAACCUCCCUCCCUGGCCCCAGACCUCCGGGAUCAAGCGCCAGCACAGCGUCGAGUACUGGCUCAUGGCCUCGCUUCUCCACAACGGAGGAGAGAAAGAGGCGGUUAGGGUUUUUGAUCCGGAAUCGGCGGAUGCCUUCUACG